RNAcentral lists this ribosomal RNA (506 nucleotides) under uncultured bacterium. RNAcentral describes it as "partial 16S ribosomal RNA". It matches the Rfam family "Bacterial small subunit ribosomal RNA", at positions 29 to 523 of the family's 1533-position model. The record is from RNAcentral.
AGUGAACGCUGGCGGUAGGCCUAACACAUGCAAGUCGAACGGCAGCACAGAGGAGCUUGCUCCUUGGGUGGCGAGUGGCGGACGGGUGAGGAAUACAUCGGAAUCUACUCUGUCGUGGGGGAUAACGUAGGGAAACUUACGCUAAUACCGCAUACGACCUACGGGUGAAAGCAGGGGAUCUUCGGACCUUGCGCGAUUGAAUGAGCCGAUGUCGGAUUAGCUAGUUGGCGGGGUAAAGGCCCACCAAGGCGACGAUCCGUAGCCGGUCUGAAAGGGUGAUCAGCCACAUUGGUACGCAGACACGGUCCAGACUCCGACGUGAGGCAGCAGUGGGGGAUAUUGGACAAUGGGCGCAAGCCUGACUCAGCCAUGCCGCGUGGGUGAAGAAGGCCUUCGGGUUGUAAAGCCCUUUUGUUGGGAAAGAAAUCCAUCUGGUUAAUACCCGGGUGGGAUGACGGUACCCAAAGAAUAAGCACCGGCUAACUUCGUGCCAGCAGCCGCCGUAA